Molecule: ribosomal RNA, 253 nt
Filed under: uncultured bacterium
Lineage: Bacteria
Description: partial 16S ribosomal RNA
Rfam family: Bacterial small subunit ribosomal RNA
Source: RNAcentral
UACGUAGGGUGCGAGCGUUAAUCGGAAUUACUGGGCGUAAAGCGUGCGUAGGUGGUUCGUUGUGUCUGUGGUGAAAGCCCCGGGCUUAACCUGGGAAUGGCCAUGGAAACUGGCGAGCUGGAGUGUGGCAGAGGAGGGUGGAAUUCCGCGUGUAGCAGUGAAAUGCGUAGAGAUGCGGAGGAACACCGAUGGCGAAGGCAGCCUUCUGGGCCAACACUGACGCUCAUGCACGAAAGCGUGGGGAGCAAACAGG